RNAcentral lists this transfer RNA (72 nucleotides) under Heterocephalus glaber (naked mole-rat). It matches the Rfam family "tRNA". From Rfam's summary of the family: Transfer RNA (tRNA) molecules are approximately 80 nucleotides in length. The record is from Rfam by way of RNAcentral. Lineage: Eukaryota; Metazoa; Chordata; Mammalia; Rodentia; Bathyergidae.
GGGGAUGUAGCUCAAUGGUAGAGGGCUUGUCUAGAAUAUGUUAAUCUCUGGGUUCAAUCCCCAGUAUUGCCA